Molecule: long non-coding RNA, 588 nt
Filed under: Homo sapiens (human)
Lineage: Eukaryota; Metazoa; Chordata; Mammalia; Primates; Hominidae
Description: HSALNT0021211
Source: RNAcentral
CUUGCUUUUGCCUUUCCUUACAUUACUUUUAGGUCACUGAAUUGGCUGUUCUGACCUAAGAUGACAGAACAAGGAUGGUAUUUUCUCUUCAAGAGUUUGGGAAGCUCUUAUUUGGACAGCACUUAUAGUUUUUUGAGAACUUAAAGUCCAAGAUUCACCAAGAUUGUGUGUCAAAGUACCAAAUAGUGAGAGAAUGGACAUGAAGGUAUGCAGCUGUACAAUCUUAAAGUACAGCUGCAGCUGCUGUACAAGGGCACAGAUGUUGACUUCAGUGCCUGGGAUCACGGAAAACUGUAUGACACACGGAUCUGAGAUACCCAAAGCUGACACCUCCCACCCCACUUAGAUGUACACUUUUUUAUUUUGAAAACUUUGGAUUGAAAUUUGUAUAAAAUAUAUUAAUGCUUCCCUCCUGCCUUUUAAAACGUAGUAUGAAGAAUAUAACAAUCUUUUUUGAAUGACUCAGUGUCUACAAUAUGAGCUCUGAUCUGUGCUUUACACUUCAUUGAUAGUCUCAGAAGCUAUUAAGUUAGCUUGCCUCUAAUCGAAAUAGUCCCAUACACCAGCAUGGUUUCAGUUUUGCUAUUU